UGAGUAACUGUCUUGAUCAUCUACCCGGCGAAAUUGAGAUGGCUGUGAAGACGCGGCCUAGUUGUCCUUGGACAAAAAGACCCCGGGAGCUUUACUGUAUCUUGGCAUUUGAAAGUAUAUUUUGACUGUUUAGAAUAAGAGGGAGCGAUUUAUCGCGAAAUAUGAAAUACCUCUCUUUGAGAUAUGCAAUCAUUACCUUAUUGCCGCACAAAAAUCCGGCUAAGGAACAGUGUCUGGUGGGCAGUUUAACUGGGGAGGUUGACUCCUAAAUCGUAACGGAGUUGUACAAAGGUUGGCUAACUACGGAUGGAAAUCGUAGUGAUAGUGCAAAGGCAUAAGCCAGCUUAACUGCGAGACCUACAAGUCGAGCAGAGACGAAAGUCGGUCUUAGUGAUCCUCCGAUUGGGUAGUGGUACCCACGGAGCUUAACGGAUAAAAGCUACCCCGGGGAUAACAGGCUGAUCGCAUCCAAGCGUUCAUAGCGACGAUGCGGUUUGGCACCUUAAAUUGGCGAAUCGCGAUGUCGGCUCAUCGCAUCCUGGGGGUGGAGAAGCUCCCAAGGGUUGGGCUGUUCGCCCAUUAAAGCGGUACGCGAGCUGGGUUCAGAACGUCGUAAGACAGUUCGGUCUCUAUCCAGGACAACCGUUGAUAUUUGAGGAGAGCCGUCCCUAGUACGAGAGGACUGGGAUGGGGGAAUCCCUGGUGUGCCAGUUGUCCGGCAGCGCUGGGUAGCUAGAUUCCCAACUGAUAACCGCUGAAAGCAUCUAAGUGGGAAGCAGACUCCAAGAUUAGAUAUCGUUCCGUCGUAAGACGGAUGAGAUCCCUUCUAGACCAGGAGGUUGAUAGGCGGGCGGUGUAAGAUACGCAAGUAUUUUAGCCUACCCGUACUAAUGAUC
RNAcentral lists this ribosomal RNA (896 nucleotides) under Candidatus Levybacteria bacterium GW2011_GWA2_40_8. Its description in RNAcentral is "bacterial LSU rRNA". It matches the Rfam family "Bacterial large subunit ribosomal RNA", at positions 2009 to 2910 of the family's 2925-position model. Lineage: Bacteria; Candidatus Levyibacteriota. The record is from RNAcentral.